GGAGUUAUGAAAUGCCUGUGGGCGAAUAGUCCGGCGGUUUGACAAAGGCCCAAGAAGAACCCACGGCUAACUUCGUGCCAACACCCGCGGUAAUACAAAUGUGGCAAGCGUUGUUCAAAAUCUGUGGGCAUAAGGGGUGCAUACGCGGUCCUGUGUGUCGGGGGUGAAAGCCCCCGGCUCACCCGGGGAAUUGCUUCCUAAACUGCGGGACUCGUGUGCAAGAGGGGAGAGUG
Molecule: ribosomal RNA, 233 nt
Filed under: uncultured anaerobic ammonium-oxidizing bacterium
Lineage: Bacteria
Description: partial 16S ribosomal RNA
Rfam family: Bacterial small subunit ribosomal RNA
Source: RNAcentral